Molecule: non-coding RNA, 1714 nt
Organism: Monodelphis domestica (gray short-tailed opossum)
Lineage: Eukaryota; Metazoa; Chordata; Mammalia; Didelphimorphia; Didelphidae
Source: RefSeq, a predicted model, not a curated record
GGAGAUGCAGUCCUCCAAGCCACAACACUUGAAAAGCCAUACUAUCUCUAUGUAUCUAUGAAAACGGAGAGAUGGACAACUGGACAGACAGAAGGACUGACAGACAGAUUAGUUGCUAUGAUAUUCUGUCUAUCUGCUUGUUGGUUGGUGCAUUUAUCGGUCUGUCCGUCUAUCUUUUGAGAGUUUUCAAAUGUUGUGACCUCCUGGGGAACUACAACCCCCAGUGUGCUCCAGGAGUCCCACCCCUUUCAGUCCUGCCUUGGGAGGGCUCCCAAAUUCGACCAAUCCCGAGUUAGGAGAGGGACAAAGCGAAUGGCCUCUCCUGAGCCCAGGAUUGAUCCAUUUAUAAGCCAAUCACACACAGCAGUAGCGAGGAAUAUCCCUAUCCCUGCCUCGGUCCAAUUCAAGACCAAUCCCUCCCAGGAAAUGAGAUGGAGGGACUGCUCCAGAACAUUGCAGUGUGCAGUUCCUCAGGGCACAAGGCUACAAAACACAUUCUAUCUCUAGCUCUAUAUCCAUAUAGACUGAGAGAUGGCCAAGGGGACCGACAGACAGGAGGACUGACAGACAGAGAGCUUCGUCAAAGGCUUCAUGAUUUCUUUCCUAACGUCUUCUGAUUCGACUUUGAGACAACCCAGCACUCUGGAAUCUUUGCUGCGACUUCUCCAAUGGACAGAUGUUCCUUUCCAUCCUCUUAACAAGGCUCCAUCAUUUCUUUCCUAACGUCUUCUGAUUCGACUUUGAGACAACCCAGCACUCUGGAAUCUUUGCUGCGACUUCUCCAAUGGACAGAUGUUCCGUUCCAUCCUCUUAACGAGGCUUCAUGAUUUCUUUCCUAACUUCUUCUGAUUCGACUUUGAGACAACCCAGCACUCUGGAAUCUUUGCUGCAACUUCUCCAAUUAACUGAUGUUCCUUUCCAUCCUCUUAACAAGGUUUCCACCCAAACAUAUCGGAAUAAGUGGUUGCAGGCAAGCAAAGCAUAUGAUGGUGCCCCUGUGGUUUUCAGAUGGCUCAGCAGAUGUAUUUGGUUCAAGAUUGGAGGGGGAGUGGCAGACAUACAGUUUGGCCAGUGAGGUGAGUGGCUGUGGCAGACUGCAUGAUGGGUCGAAACCCUUCUUCUCAGACUCUUCCAUGAGAUGCUGGAAGUCUUGAAUAGGAAAGCAAGGAAUCAGGAUCUCAGAGGCUAAGUUCUGCGCCUUAUUUACAGGAAUCAUAACCUGUUGUCCUGACUUUUCCCAAAAAGGAGCAUUUACUAAACAACAAUGGCAUUUCUUCGGGCAGGCUAUGAAACAAAGUGAGGCAAAAGGAUACAGAAUGUUACCGCCUUUGGGAUCCCAUGCAAUCUAGUGAAGAUACUGCACAAACUGUGGAGAGUUCAGCGGUUCCUCAGCUGCAGCCCACACCUUUCUCUGCUUCUACUAACUCUUCUUGCCCCUUUUAAUGAGAUGGCCAAAGAGAAACACCCCUUCCUUAAUGCUGCAGAUGCCAAGAACCAGCCCCAUGGCCUGGGACAAACCUCCUGCCCAAACCCCUUGUUUCUGGGUCCUGUCCUCACUGCUGUCAAAUGAUAGCUAAACCCCAGCAUGGAGGCAUGCUGUGUUGCUGUCCUCCCAAGGAACAGCUUUUGCACCCAUGCUCUUCCACCUCAGCUGCCUCUUUACCAAAUUCAACAUGACAUUCCAAAUCAAUAAAAUGUCACUUUUAUUUUGAAG